AGAAUGGGGAAUUGAUGUUGUUAAUGGAGCCACGCAACCUGGUCUGCUUAAUUCCAGCUCAGGCUGCACAGGAGGCUACUUCUGUCUUCAUGUCAUCCUCGAAGAGUUCGGCUUUCGUGGAUACGUCUGAACCCCUCCCCGUGCUACCGAUGGGGCUUGCGCUUUUCAGCCAGCACUGAGCUGGCAACGUCAGCUGGGGUUUUCACGGUCUGCUGAUAACUGCCCAUUACUGAGAUACUACUGAGAAUUGAAUUACAGAGCCAAGGAGAGCCUCCCAAAGAGGGAUGGAUCUCGUCACACACCUGGAUAAGUGCCGCAAAGGUACUAUGGUGGAAAGGCCAUCAGAAGAAGGGGGACUAAGAGACCUCCCAGGAGGCCGACCUUACAACUGAGACCUAAAGGACGAGAAUGAUUCCAGCACGCGUAGCAGAGGAAGAGCCAGGUACCAUGAAUGUGAGCAGUGGUCAUCAAAACGAGACACUUGGGCCACAUGGGGCUAUCUAUGCCUUUUCAGGUAAGAAAUGUGGUUGGAAGCCAUGUGCCCAAAGAGUAGACCUCGAGAUGGGGUUUGCUGGUGGAAGGAAGAGUAUAAAAAGUGCUUACAAGCUGUUAGUCGAAGAAUUUAUCCGAAUGGGAAAGGAAAGCCAGAAAAAGGAGAAGGUUGGGAGACUGAAGGCCUGAGCUCAGACGUCUGCAUUUCAAGAGUCAUCUCUGACAGCCAUCGCCACUUGGUGGGGGAUUCCCUGAUUGCAACCUCACUCAUUCCUCAAAGGUAAACCCCUGUCCUGGGUGUGUUCCUCUCAGCUCAGGCAUCAGGGCUGCAAUGGCCCACCCCGAGCUUUACCACUGAGAGGCCCAUUGACGAUAUACAUUGUAUCCUGUCUACCUAGUUGCUUCUAAUCUGGCCCGAGGGCAGGAAGGCAUGUUCAAUUCUUCCAGCCUCAUCCCCACUAGUCCCUAUGUAACAGCACUGCCAAGGAGAGCAUGAUUUUCUCCUAUUCCAACCAUGUGAAGCCCACCAUGGCUUCACAGCUGUUGUCAAGGGGACAUUGCAAAAGGAGGCAAUAAAGGGCAUGCAGAUACAGAUGGAGACGUGGUUAGAAUUGAGUCCCCUGAGCAGAGAGGUUGUGGACAGUAACAACUCUACUGUUUGGGCACGUGGCUUCCAACCAUAUCCACCCCCCAGCCCCUCCAGGAACUGUUCUUUCCAUACUGUUUAGCCUUCCUUUUUUCUCUGCCAACCAACUCUUACCUUCUCUCUGGCCACUCAUCCACUGCCGUCGUUCUUCCUUUCAAAGCUAGAGUCAGUAUUAACUUUCCUUCUUCUCCACCUAGCAGUCCUAACUCUAGUGUGGCUGGACCUCCACAGCUGGGUCUAAGGCCGCCAUUCAGUGCUGAUGAGUUUUGCUAGUACAGUACCGAUCCGUGUGAGGUGGAACACUCCUGUUCCCCACAUUCCUUUCCUUUCAAGGCCAAGUGCUCCUGGGCUGGGCAUUUGGUCACCUACCAGUUUACAUUUGGGGAUUCAUUGCUCGGCACUUAACUCUGCAUUGCUACAAAAACUGUCUAGCUGGCAACAAGGUCGUGCAAAAUGUGUUCAUACUUAAGAUCCUGGCUCAGUCAUCCCUCUCUGCCUUCCUACCCUAACAGACACAUCACCCCUUAGGAUUGUGCUGAUGAAGGAGCGGCAGGCAUUUGGCGCACUAGAUCACUGCAAAUAAUAGUUAUUUUCAGAAAAAAUAUGUAAAUUGCAUGUGUUGCUGUCAUGUGUGGGUCCCCACACCUGGAACGGAAUGGAGCAGAGGCCCCGGAGCGAUGUCACUCAACAGCUUUUUACCAAGCGACAAGACCAUCAGCAGCUGAGAUGCAUUGUGCUGCUGUGACAUUAACUGCAGACAUGGAGUGCCACAGAAAAAGUUGACGCCCCCUUUUUUUUUGAAUAGAGCCCAGGGGUAAUUACUGUGACUAUUGUUCUAUUAGAAAGCUCCAUUUAUGCUCCUUCAUCAAUUCAGGAUCUUGACAUGAAAAAUCGCGGGCAUUAAGUGUUUAAGGCAAUUUGCUUUCCAAAUGAAGAAAGUCUAUUCUUCAGUCAUCAGCGCAGAUGGCCAAAGCUCACCUCACAAGGAGACUGAGGAGGGGGUUUGCUCCCUAAACAGAGCCCGGGGACAUGUUCAAGGCCUGUUCCCAGUCAUCAGUCCCAGUAGGAUAUACAGGUCUGGGUGGGCAGCCUGCAGGUGGACAGUGGCUGCCCCACAGGGGUGUGGUGUGAACUGAGGUGGGUCCAAUGAGCCCAGAUGAACCUGGCUGCCCUGUCUUGGGGGCCAGGCACGGAGUUCUGAGGAAAAGCUACAGAAAUGUUGCUCACCUUGAGAAGUAAGCUCUCAGGGCAGGUCCGUGCUCUUCCACAUGCCACAGAACAUGAGUCGGUUAUGAGGUGUGCCAUUCAAUAUGGAGUAAAAUGGGAGACUUCUGAGCUACUUACCCCCACAUGAGAACAUAAAAUGGGAACAAAAGAAAAGGCCAAACCGUGACAAAAGAGAUGGCCCCCCAAAGCGUUACUUACAU
Molecule: long non-coding RNA, 2565 nt
Organism: Mus musculus (house mouse)
Lineage: Eukaryota; Metazoa; Chordata; Mammalia; Rodentia; Muridae
Product: predicted gene, 52115
Exons: 3
Source: RefSeq, a predicted model, not a curated record